UUUUCGACUCAUCAGAAAUAUCCGAAAGUGUUAACUUCUGCGUCAUGGAAGCGAUAAAACUCUGCAGGUUGGAUACGCCAAUCAUUUUUAUCGAAGCGCGCAUAAAUUUGAGCAGAUUUGUCGUCACAGGUUGCGCCGCCAAAACGUCGGCUACAGUAACUUUUCCCAGCCUCAAUCUCAUCUCUCUUUUUGCGUUCUGCUUCAAUAUCUGGUUGAACGGCGUCGCGUCGUAACCCAGCUUGGUAAGUUGGAUUAAGCACUCCGUGGACAGAUUUGUCAUUGUGAGCAUUUUCAUCCCGAAGUUGCGGCUCAUUCUGAUUCUGAACA
RNAcentral lists this ribosomal RNA (327 nucleotides) under uncultured prokaryote. Its description in RNAcentral is "partial 16S ribosomal RNA". The record is from RNAcentral.